CUGGCGGCGUGCCUAAUACAUGCAAGUAGAACGCUGACUACUUUAGCUUGUAGAGUAGAAGGAGUUGCGAACGGGUGAGUAACGCGUAGGUAACCUGCCUACUAGCGGGGGAUAACUAUUGGAAACGAUAGCUAAUACCGCAUAACAGUGUUUAACACAUGUUAGAUGCUUGAAAGAUGCAAAUGCAUCACUAGUAGAUGGACUGCGUUGUAUUAGCUAGUUGGUGGGGUAACGGCCUACCAAGGCGACGAUACAUAGCCGACCUGAGAGGGUGAUCGGCCACACUGGGACCUGAGACACGGCCCAGACUCCUACGGGAGGCAGCAGUAGGGAAUCUUCGGCAAUGGGGGCAACCCUGACCGAGCAACGCCGCGUGAGUGAAGAAGGUUUUCGGAUCGUAAAGCUCUGUUGUAAGAGAAGAAGGUGUGUGAGAGUGGAAAGUUCACACAGUGACGGUAACUUACCAGAAAGGGACGGCUAACUACGUGCCAGCAGCCGCGGUAAUACGUAGGUCCCGAGCGUUGUCCGGAUUUAUUGGGCGUAAAGCGAGCGCAGGCGGUUUAAUAAGUCUGAGUUAAAGGCAGUGGCUUCACCAUUGUUCGCUUUGGAAACUGUUAAACUUGAGUGCAGAAGGGAGAGUGGAAUUCCAUGUGUAGCGGUGAAAUGCGUAGAUAUAUGGAGGAACACCGGUGGCGAAAGCGGCUCUCUGGUCUGUAACUGACGCUGAGGCUCSAAAGCGUGGGGAGCAAACAGGAUUAGAUACCCUGGUAGUCCACGCCGCAAACGAUGAGUGCUAGGUGUUAGGCCCUUUCCGGGGGCUUAGUGCCGCAGCUAACGCAUUAAGCACUCCGCCUGGGGAGUACGACCGCAAGGUUGAAACUCAAAGGAAUUGACGGGGGCCCGCACAAUCGGUGGAGCAUGUGGUUUAAUUCGAAGCAACGCGAASAACCUUACCAGGUCUUGACAUCCCGAUGCUAUUUCUAGAGAUAGAAAGUAUUCUUCGGAACAUCGGUGACAGGUGGUGCAUGGUUGUCGUCAGCUCGUGUCGUGAGAUGUUGGGUUAAGUCCCGCAACGAGCGCAACCCCUAUUGUUAGUUGCCAUCAUUCAGUUGGGCACUCUAGCGAGACUGCCGGUAAUAAACCGGAGGACAGGUGGGGAUGACGUCAAAUCAUCAUGCCCCUUAUGACCUGGGCUACACACGUGCUACAAUGGUUGGUACAACGAGUCGCAAGUCGGUGACGGCAAGCAAACUCUUAAAGCCAAUCUCAGUUCGGAUUGUAGGCUGCAACUCGCCUACAUGAAGUCGGAAUCGCUAGUAAUCGCGGAUCAGCACGCCGCGGUGAAUACGUUCCCGGGCCUUGUACACACCGCCCGUCACACCACGAGAGUUUGUAACACCCGAAGUCGGUGAGGUAACCUUUUAGGAGCCAGCCGCCUAAGGUGGGAUAGAUGAUUGGGGUGAAGUCUUAACAAGG
This 1476-nucleotide ribosomal RNA is filed under the name Streptococcus gallolyticus. RNAcentral describes it as "bacterial SSU rRNA". It matches the Rfam family "Bacterial small subunit ribosomal RNA". Lineage: Bacteria; Bacillati; Bacillota; Bacilli; Lactobacillales; Streptococcaceae. The record is from RNAcentral.